GGCUUUAUAUUCAUGGGAUGAUUGUAGAAUGCAAUUCUAUAGGAGUAGUAUAGUUGUGGCUACUAAAGCCU
This 71-nucleotide transfer RNA is filed under the name Sigmella normalis. RNAcentral describes it as "tRNA-Cys". The record is from RNAcentral. Lineage: Eukaryota; Metazoa; Arthropoda; Insecta; Blattodea; Blattellidae.